CCCAGGAGCCACAAGUGGCAAUCACCUUUAUUGGGCCUAAAGCGUCCGUAGCCGGCUCUGUAAAUUUUCUGUGAAAUCGUUGCGCUCAACGUAACGGCGCGCGGAAAACACUGCAGGGCUUGGGACCGGGAGGAGUCAGAGGUAUUUGGGGGGGAGCGGUAAAAUGCUAUAAUCCCUCAAGGACCACCUGUGGCGAAGGCGUCUGACUAGAACGGAUCCGACGGUGAGGGACGAAAGCUAGGGGAGCAAUCCGG
This 254-nucleotide ribosomal RNA is filed under the name uncultured archaeon. RNAcentral's name for it is "partial 16S ribosomal RNA". It matches the Rfam family "Archaeal small subunit ribosomal RNA", at positions 474 to 727 of the family's 1478-position model. The record is from RNAcentral.